UACGUAGGGUCCAAGCGUUAUCCGGAAUCACUGGGCGUAAAGCGUGCGUAGGUGGCGUGUUAAGUGUGAUGUUAAAUCGCGGGGCUCAACCCUGUCGGUGCAUCGCAUACUGGCAUGCUAGAGGGACGCAGAGGCAAGUGGAAUUGGUAGUGUAGCAGUGAAAUGCGUAGAUAUUACCAGGAACACCAAUGGCGAAGGCAGCUUGCUGGGCUUCUUCUGACACUGAGGUACGAAAGCGUGGGGAGCGAACAGG
RNAcentral lists this ribosomal RNA (253 nucleotides) under uncultured bacterium. RNAcentral describes it as "partial 16S ribosomal RNA". It matches the Rfam family "Bacterial small subunit ribosomal RNA", at positions 524 to 776 of the family's 1533-position model. The record is from RNAcentral.